RNAcentral lists this long non-coding RNA (1055 nucleotides) under Triticum aestivum (bread wheat). RNAcentral's name for it is "long non-coding RNA (TAES_LNC005309)". The record is from RNAcentral. Lineage: Eukaryota; Viridiplantae; Streptophyta; Magnoliopsida; Poales; Poaceae.
UAUGUUUUGUUGCUGCAAUUUUAAUCAUAAUAAAUGUAUCGCUCCAUCAAGUUGUAUCUAGAAUUUACUCUCUUGGUAAAUUGAUGUAUGUAAAAAACAUACAACAUGCUUGACGAAAAAAUAUAAUUGCAGAACAAUCUCAAAAGCGAACUUAAUAAACAUCAGGUGCGCCAGUACAUACUGAACUUGAACUAAAACAUCUUGCGCUACUAAGUUUAGCCCAUCAACUGCAUGAAUGGGAGUGAAACAGGCUUAGCGGUAGAGGGAGCCACCCUUAAUUACUUCAUUACAUAGUAGUACACUAACACAUAGAUCCCUGGCACAUGCGGACGCAACCACGACCAUGAGGACGAGAACUGUAAGCAUGAUGUUGACAGCUCCAAGAAGAAAGUUGACGCCUACAAGGCCUGAGACCCAGGGCCAGCUCUGGCUGCGGCCGUGGGCGGGACUUGCUGGACCAGAUUGUUGACCAGCUCUGGUUGGCUUGAGGCUGGAUCUACGGCUAUGCAUGCGGCUGGUUCGCAACAGGCACCAUCUACGUGCCCACAUUAGCAUGGUGGACACAAAACAUCUGGCCUCCAGGGUGCAUCCCAGCUUGGUGAUGCGCGACAGCUAUCUGCAUUGGGGUCAUCCUCCUCCAGUAAGCUCGCUGAAACUCGAAGAAACGACACUGGCGAGACUAAAAAAAUUUAGAAAAAAACAAAAGGCAAAUGAAAAACAUGUCAGUCAGAUCUGAGUUUUUCCAAGGAAGAAUUUGAGGCCGAUAAAAAGAACAAUAUCUGAUUGCAUCCACUUACAUCAUAUCGAAUGCACUUGUAGAAGCGGUUACCAGCCUGAGAUCUAGACCUCGCCACAUUGGUCUUGAUAUCAUCGUCGCACAGUGGUCACCUCAUCAGCGGCAGCAGCCAGUCAGACAAGAUUGGGAUGGAGUUCGAAGAUGAAGCAGACAUGGCGAAUCAGCCGGAGAUGGAGAUAUGGAAUGGCUCAGCAAUACGAGGUGUGGUUUCCGGUCUAAGGCUAUGAAUGGGUGGGGAUGGGCUGAUGGUUGUUGUUAG